GGCAGGGUUCACAGAGCUAUUUUCAGUUCUCUUGCAGGAUCUCCUUCCCAGCCUUCAGAAAUUGCCGGUCUGGGAGUUGGGGGCAAGGAGAAGAUCCUGAAUUAGACCUUUACGAGAAGCACAGUUUUGUCUUCAGUUUCCUCUCCCCCCACCCGGAAUGGCCUGAGCCGAAGCCAGCUCCCUCCGAGAAGUCAUUACCGCCUGACUUGCGUUUGAUAUUUAGACACCUUGGUCACAACAUCUUGCAUUCUCUCGGGAUGCUGAUUUCUAACUGCUCUUUGGCCUUUCCUGCAUUGGUCCUCCUCAGGCAGGGGAUCCCUGCUCUUCUAUAUUAGUGAGAAAACCAAGGCUCAGAGAAACUGUGGAUUUUCUAAGGAUGCUGGCUCCCCGUCCCCUGUCCACCAUGAGUCAAAGCAAUGUGAGUCCCUCACCAGAUGCAACUGCCCAGUCUUGGACUUUCCAGUGACCAGAAUCAUGAGCCAAAUAAACCUCUUUUCUUUAUG
This 503-nucleotide long non-coding RNA is filed under the name Homo sapiens (human). Its description in RNAcentral is "non-protein coding lnc-AAGAB-1:28". Lineage: Eukaryota; Metazoa; Chordata; Mammalia; Primates; Hominidae. The record is from RNAcentral.